AGCAGUGGGAGCGGCCCUGCUCACAGCGGCUACUGAGAUCCGAAAGGCUUUUCAGAAGACGAGCUGCUCUGAUCAUCCUCAUUUUCUCCACCAGGAGUAAAUAGUUCCUGUUGCUCUGAUCCCAGGCUUCACCUUUUGAGUCUCAGCCGUCAGUGAGUUGUUCUGUCGGCGGCGACGCUGGUGUCUGACUGAACGCUGACAGCCCCCUGCAGCCGGCUGAGCGGAGAUGCUGCCGGUGCUGAACUUGCUGAGAUUUCUCCUGCAGUUGUGUCCACCGGGUAUCUGGGGGACCGGGUCCAGAACCCGGGCUGAGGGGGAGGAGGCCUGGUUCCACCAUAUGGUGAGGCGUUUGUGCUGCCAGCUGCCCUGUGGGGCUUCAGCCGCCAUGUUUCCACUGGACUGAUGGCCGGAUCACACACUGCUCAGGUUUCCUGUCUGACUCUCAGCAGGUUUUAUGGGCUGUUGCUCUGUUUUUAUCCGUGAGUGACUUCAUGCAGAAAUCAGCACUUAGCAUUUCUUUCACAAAUGUAAUCGGAGAUCAUCCCACUCUGCAGACUCUCUGUAAGGCGUACGAGGAGGAAGAGGAAGAUGAUUCGUUUUGUGUUCAGAGGCUUGGAUGGAAAAUCAUUUAGUCCUGAGUUUAAAAUGAAUCCAUCCAUCCAGACCGGGUUCCUUCAGUCUGGAUCUCCUGAUGAACUGACAGCUUCAUGUUUCAGCUGAAUUGUUUCCUCUUGUUUUGUCUCUCCUGUCAUCACUAAGAAGAAACAGAUUCAUCAUUCACUUAUUUUGUUAUUUGGCUUUGGUUGAUCAGAUUCAUGUCUUCCUGAUGAUUCCAUUCAGAUUCAUGUCCUGAAGAUGAAAUUAAGACUGUUUUCCCUCCUGAUGGUCCGGUCGACCCGGUUCUACUGGAACCAGAACAUCUGCUCCACCUGCAGCUGCUGUGGUUCUGAGUCCAACCAGCCUGUUCCCCUCCUGGCCUGUGGGGGCGCUGCACCAAGAAAUGACACUAAAACUUCUGAAGACACUGAGAGCAACUUCCUGUUUCACCAGAUGAAACAAGAUGGAGGAUUUCUCUUUAGUCUUUGUCUAAAGUUCAGGAGCCAUUUCUGCUGCUAGCGCUAGGCUAGCAUGUUAGCUUUGGUUGUGUUUUCCCAGAAUGCCUUUUUCUAUAGUCCACUUCCUGCUUUUGGAGCGGUCUGAGGUCCGCUUGACGUUCAUAUUUAAACCAAACUGGAGUUCACUUCAACUGAACCAGAGUUAGCUUAGCAUUCACACAUCACUAACCGAACCGGACUUUAUAGGAAAACGGACUGGAGUCCAAUGAGGUGGCCUGAAGGUCAUGUCCUGGUUUAACACCUGGUGGAGUCGGUGGCGAUGUCAAAGUCACAGCAGCUAGAAAAGCUGUCAGCUAACAGCUUUAACACAGUCACAGCUUUAAAGGCUCAUCUCCUUAAUUCAUCUUUCAACUUAUUCCCAAUCCCACCAGCAUCACUGCAGCUCUGGAGGGACGGCAGGACGACAUUCCAGCUCGUCUCCUUUGUGAAAACGUCUCCAUUAAAUGACAGCAGCUGACGGCAUCAAGCAGCUUUCUGAACAAUAAACCAGCAGGCUGCUGCAGCGCCGGCGGCGGCUGCAGCAUCGGCGGCGGCUGCAGCAUCGGCUGCUUAAGUCCACUGCACCGGGCCGGCCCGAGUAAGUCCUGGACGGUUUUAAUGAAGUCGAGUUUCUGGGCCAUCAGUUUAUUCUCUGAAUGGAAUCAACAGCUCAGCUUCACUCAGCUCACUGGAACAGAACUUUAUGUUUUAACUUUUAGAAUAACAAACUGAAGCACAAAAAUUGGUGCCAGACUCACAAAUAUUCAUUUCACACAAUUCUGAGUUGAUAAAAAUAAUGUUUUAUGUGUUGCUAACAGUUUUCUACUGUGUGCUGGAGAAAGCGACUCGCCUCUGCUGCAGCUGUCAGUGGGAACAACCUAAAACCGUUUCUGGGUUCUGAAUAUAUCCUCAUUUGACUCCAGAUGUGUUUGGACUGUGAGGUUCUGUGGGGUUCUAUUAGUUUCUGUGAGGUUCUGUGAGUUUCUAUGAGGUUCUGUGGGGUUCUGUGAGGUUCUGUGGGGUUCUGUGAGGUUCUGUGAGGUUCUGUGAGUUUCUAUGAGGUUCUGUGGGGUUCUGUGAGGUUCUGUGGGGUUCUGUGAGGUUCUGUGGGGUUCUGUGAGGUUCUGUGAGGUUCUGCAGGCUGGAGGAGCCUGCAUGUUUGCAGAGCCUGCAGUAAUUCUCAGAAGUUUGAGAGCAGAAACUUUCCUGAGAAAGCUUCGGUUCUUCCAACAGAGCAAAUCCAGGAUAAUCAGAUGAAAGUGUGCAGGCCUGAUGGGGCCUGAUGAUGAUGAGGCGCGAAUGAGAAUGAGUCCAGUUCACUGAGUUCUGAAUGCCGAGGAGCUGGAGACGAACCCGGCAGCUUCAUUCUUUAUGUUUGACACAAACAUCUGAGUUUUGGUUCAGAUUGGGUCAAACUGUUUUGGUUGGUUUUACCUUGACUGGGAUGAUGGUUCUGGUUCCCAGCAGGACGAAGCCGCCGGUCCGGUUCAGCCGCAGCGCAGCAGCUCUGUGGACACAAACCAGCUUCACGUGGAAACCAGGAAACUUUACAGAUCCAACAAUCAAAUCAGGCAAAAAGGAGAAAAACAGCAAAGUCCAAAUGAACUGAAGGAAAAAUGAAAAGCACAGAAAUCAACUUUUCCACUCUUUUGUUUUAUACAUUAAUUAAGCAUAAUGUUUCAUUUAUGCUUAAUUGAUUUGUUGAAAGGAAAAAGUUAUUGACAAAAUAUAAAUAUGUAAAUACAAUAUUUCAAGAUAACAUAAGAACUGAAUUUUCUAGAUUUCAGACUCAAACUUGUAUAAUUUUAUUAUUUCUCA
Poeciliopsis prolifica (blackstripe livebearer) is the source of this 2912-nucleotide long non-coding RNA. RefSeq lists it as uncharacterized. The transcript is spliced from 3 exons. The record is from RefSeq and is a predicted model, not a curated record. Lineage: Eukaryota; Metazoa; Chordata; Actinopteri; Cyprinodontiformes; Poeciliidae.